Molecule: long non-coding RNA, 1447 nt
Filed under: Homo sapiens (human)
Lineage: Eukaryota; Metazoa; Chordata; Mammalia; Primates; Hominidae
Description: HSALNT0057536
Source: RNAcentral
GUAUAUUCUCAAAAAUUUUAUUGAUAGGGCUAUAUGCAAUCAAAAAGUUUGAGGCCACAGUGCUAAAGUAUCAAAGAUGCAAGAUGUUCAUCCUCCUAAAAGCCAAUAGGCAUCACAGAGUCAGCCACAUGAAAGCAAAUGUUUUGGCAAAGUAAAAAUAAAAUAGCAGAAACGGGUGUGUCCUAAUCUUAAAGAUGCUUUACUUUUUUAUCCCAUUUUCUUUGUGCUUUCUUGAAAUUUUUACUUCUUUCUUAAUAAGGUGAGCUUUAUGAAGCUGGAAACACAGAGGAACUCAAUAAGUAUUUUUUAUUUGAUUACCUUUCCAGACCAAAGACUUUUGGUCAUGAAUGACUGAUCGUAGAAUACCGAAAACAUCAGGUGUGAAAUAAAACCUUUCUGUGAAACAAGUGCCAGAAGGAUAUACUUUGCUGCUUUUUUUUUUUUAAUUCAGUGGUCUUUGGAUGUCCACUUGACUCACUCCUAAUCAGUCCCAGAAAAAAAAGAAAGAAAGGCCUUUGGAUUGCUAGUGCUAAGCAACUCAGCUUCUUCCUUUUUUCUUAUUUGAAAUUGUUGGAAAAUAAUACAGAAGACAGAAAACAUCUUGCUCCAAACAUUGAGAAACCUGGGUCUUGCUACAGCUUAAUGAUAAUACUAAUAUCCAUCAGUUGAGUAGCAACAGAUUCAUCUUGAUAUGCUGUUCAUCUUUAGGCCCCUAGAAGAUGGAUUUUUCAGCUUAUGCAAAAGGGUAGGGUUUUCUCUUUUGCUUUCCAGUUGGAGUGAGAGUGGGAGUAUUUCAUUUAAAAAGUCUAGAGACAGAGAUUUUUGGCAUAAUUCUAUGUAUGAAAAGUGUAACUAAUUGGCAAGGGAAAGGCCUGUCUUAUAGAUGCUCUUCUAUGAAGGUAAAGCCAGGAUCCUGGGAAGGAGUGGGAUGGAGAGAGAUAGUCAAGUUUAACCUAAAAAUCUAUAAUUGAAUUUGUGCUGAGUAUCAAUAUUAUUUCCACACUGCACAUCAUUUCAGUGAAAAAUUUUAAUUCUUUAUUUCCUUACUAUAUUACAAAAUUUAUAUACAAUGUUGAUUUAGAUUUCAAGUAGCUUUGCCAUACAUUGGCGGAUCUACAGGCUUAAGUAUAAUAAUUUCCAAAUAACAUUUUUCAUGGGCAAAAUUCAGAUAAAGGGGCAAAUGAAAACUAGAAGCAUGAGAUUGAAAUAAUUUAUGAUAAACUUAUAGUUCAUACUUUAUAGUUUUGUAGGUUUAUAGUUUUCCACAAACCCAUUUGAGCAUAUUUAAGUGAUAAAAAUGUGAAUUAUGCAUAAGAUGCUGUGGUGGUUAUGUAGGGAAAGUAAGUGACAUCUUUUUCUCACCAGUUGAAAAAUUCAUGCCUGACACCCUGUAUUAGUCAGGGUUCUCUAGAGAGACAGAACUAAUGGGACAUAUAUAUAUAUAUAA